This 253-nucleotide ribosomal RNA is filed under the name uncultured bacterium. Its description in RNAcentral is "partial 16S ribosomal RNA". It matches the Rfam family "Bacterial small subunit ribosomal RNA", at positions 524 to 776 of the family's 1533-position model. The record is from RNAcentral.
UACGGGGGGGGCAAGCGUUGUUCGGAAUUACUGGGCGUAAAGGGCCCGUAGGCGGCCAACUAAGUCGGUUGUGAAAUCCCCCGGCUCAACCGGGGAAUGGCGUCCGAUACUGAUUGGCUCGAAUCCGGGAGAGGGAUGCAGAAUUCCAGGUGUAGCGGUGAAAUGCGUAGAUAUCAGGAGGAACACCCAUGGCGAAGGCAGCAGACUGGGCGUUUCCUGACGCUGAGGCGCGAAAGCGUGGGUAGCAAACAGG